RNAcentral lists this ribosomal RNA (274 nucleotides) under uncultured bacterium. Its description in RNAcentral is "partial 16S ribosomal RNA". It matches the Rfam family "Bacterial small subunit ribosomal RNA", at positions 523 to 796 of the family's 1533-position model. The record is from RNAcentral.
AUACGGAAGGGGCAAGCGUUGUUCGGAAUCAUUGGGCGUAAAGCGGGUGCAGGCGGUGAAGUCAGUCGGAUGUGAAAGCCCAGGGCCCAACCCUGGAACUGCAUUCGAAACUGCUUCACUAGAGUCCCGGAGGGGAAGGCGGAAUUCCCGGUGUAGAGGUGAAAUUCGUAGAUAUCGGGAGGAACACCAGUGGCGAAGGCGGCCUUCUGGACGGUGACUGACGCUCAGACCCGAAAGCGUGGGGAGCAAACAGGAUUAGAAACCCCGGUAGUCC